This 253-nucleotide ribosomal RNA is filed under the name uncultured bacterium. Its description in RNAcentral is "partial 16S ribosomal RNA". It matches the Rfam family "Bacterial small subunit ribosomal RNA", at positions 524 to 776 of the family's 1533-position model. The record is from RNAcentral.
GACGAAGGAUGCAAGCGUUAUCCGGAUUCAUUGGGUUUAAAGGGUGCAUAGGCGGACUGAUAAGUCAGUGGUGAAAUCUCUUUGCUUAACAAAGAAACCGCCAUUGAUACUGUCGGUCUAGAGUAUAGAUGACGUUGGCGGAAUAUGACAUGUAGUGGUGAAAUACUUAGAUAUGUCAUAGAACACCGAUUGCGAAGGCAGCUAACGAAACUGUAACUGACGCUGAGGCACGAAAGUGCGGGGAUCAAACAGG